MicroRNA precursor from Chlorocebus sabaeus (green monkey), 108 nucleotides. The record is from Ensembl. Lineage: Eukaryota; Metazoa; Chordata; Mammalia; Primates; Cercopithecidae.
GUGGCUGCUGCUCUCCGUUUAUCCCACCACUGCCACCAUUAUUGCUACUGUUCAGCAGGUGCUGCUGGUGGUGAUGGUGAUAGUCUGGUGGGGGCGGUGGGGCUGCUG